AAGGUGAAAAGGGUACGGCUUGAUUCCAGAUCCGUUUUUAGGGUGGAACUCAGCAUAAGAAUGAAGUGACCCUUUCUUCCAUACAAUUACAGGAACCGACGAAAGGUGCUAAGAAAGACCUGGCGAAAGACGAAGCUCUCUUUGGAUUCGAAUCAAGAUUCUUUUGAGACGCGGAUUAAUACUUAGCCUCUAGUGCUUCCCUAUGAUCGAUUGAUGGAAAGGAUUGACUGGAUUCGGAAUAAGCAAGCAACUUGCCCGGCUUAGCUUCAUUUUGAUAUCGGCACCAGAUCCCCCAUAUUCUCCAAUUGCUGCUAAUGAAAUCAAUUCCAUUUAGAUUAAGACCUACCCUUCAGAUGAGAACGGGAACAGCAUAAGAUUACCUGGUGGACGAGGGAUCACUCUCUCUACGUAUUUCUAAUUGAUGUCUUUAUGAAUGCUAGCUUACUUAUGAGUUUCAUUUAUGUCUUUUUAUGAAUGCUAGCUUACUUACGAGUGUUUUUU
RNAcentral lists this long non-coding RNA (501 nucleotides) under Musa acuminata (dwarf banana). Its description in RNAcentral is "long non-coding RNA (MACU_LNC009016)". Lineage: Eukaryota; Viridiplantae; Streptophyta; Magnoliopsida; Zingiberales; Musaceae. The record is from RNAcentral.